GACGAACGCUGGCGGCGGGCUUAACACAUGCAAGUCGAACGGAAACGCACUACGUGUUUGCUGUUCUCGAUUGCCGGACGCGUGAGUAACAGGUAAGUAACGUGCUCUUGACUUUCGUGUAACUUCAGGAAACGAGGGCUAAUAUCGUAUAGCAUAUCCUCUUCGAGUGAGGGGAUGGGAAAUUUUCGGCGGUUGGGGAUGGACUAGCGGCUUAUGAGCUUGUUGGUGGGGUAGUGGCUUACCAAGGCUUUGACGGGUAGCCGGCCUGAGAGGGUGACCGGCCACAUUGGGACUGAGAUACGGCCCAGACUCCUACGGGAGGCAGCAGUGGGGAAUAUUGCACAAUGGGAGGAAGCCUGAUGAAGCAACGCCGCGUGCGGGAUGACGGCCUUCGGGUUGAAAACCGCUUUCGCCUGUGACGCAGCGUGAGUGACGGUAAUCGGUAAAGAAGCACCGGCUAACUACGUG
RNAcentral lists this ribosomal RNA (468 nucleotides) under uncultured bacterium. RNAcentral describes it as "partial 16S ribosomal RNA". It matches the Rfam family "Bacterial small subunit ribosomal RNA", at positions 28 to 507 of the family's 1533-position model. The record is from RNAcentral.